Molecule: long non-coding RNA, 1648 nt
Filed under: Homo sapiens (human)
Lineage: Eukaryota; Metazoa; Chordata; Mammalia; Primates; Hominidae
Description: HSALNT0050413
Source: RNAcentral
GGGCGGUCCGUAGCCCGAUGGGCUGGCGUGGCGAGCAGGAGCCGCGCCGGCCCGCGAGGGAACUUCCAGCCAAUGGGAGAGCGGCACGGCAGCGCCCGCCGGACGCUGGACACAGACGUGACCCCAGACCGCCUGGCCUUGGGUGGAUCGGGUCUCUGGGCAGAGCGUGUGUCCGGCAGAGCUAGGACCGGAAAAAGCCACUCUAGGUCUAGGUUAGGAGUGAUGACAGUUAAAAGAUAUAUAAGGAAAAGAAGGAAAGGAUCGUUUCUGUAUAAAACGAGCUAUUUUUGCAUAUCGAGCGCAUAAGUUUUAUAACUUAGGUGUCUGUUUAUGGAGAGGGUGGGAUACUACCUUUUAGCUCAAGGAGUGCACAAAACGGUAUCAUGAAUUCUGCUCUUUUGAUUCAAACACCCAACUUUGAAGAAUCGCUCAUGGUGCUUGUAAAACACGUAUCCCCAGAUCCCUCCCUAGACCUAUCGAACAACUCCAACGGUCUCGGGAAUGUGCGUGUAAGUACUCUUGGACAGUUCUUAGAAACUGGAAGUUUCAGGAAAUACAAAGUUAUGUUAUAUUGCUUUUGUCUCGGAAAUAGGAUUUUUUUAAAAGGGGGGGGCGGGUUGGGGGUGGGAAUGAAGGCUCCCACCACCACCAAAUUAUUUACCAGAUAUAUCUAAACAUGUCUUCUCCUGUCCCUCCCAUCCUACCAUCUCUCCUGUGCACCCGCAAUUAGUGACCUAACCUUUGAGGUGUGGGGUAGAUUCCCAGUUAAAUAACUUUACCCCUCUGUAUCUACUUCCUAUAAUUAAGAAGAUUGCAAAUGUUAGCUCUAAAGGGCUAUGGCUUUCACAUAAAGAUUCAAUGGUUUAGGCGCUUAUUUAUUUUGCUUGCUGCAUUUGGAGUUGGCUGUAAGUUUUGCCCUCCCUAAGUUUAGACCCUAUGCCUGUUUCAUCAGGGUUUCUGAAAAGCUUGGGAAGCAAGACCUGACUAGACCCCCAAAUCUGAUAUUGGCUGAAUGGCCGACCAAUGGAGUGCAUAAGAAGGAGAAUGGUGAGAAGUGGAUGAAACUUGAUGCUUGACUACAUGGCUCCAGUAAUGCAGUGAAAAGACAAAAACACAUCAACGUGACGUUCCAGGGAAAUAAACGCGAAAUCAUGCAUCCAACUGGCCACUAAGGGUUGGCUGUACAGAAUUGUAGUAUGCGUAUGGAGAAAAUGCUAACUGAACCUUUCUAAACAAAUAAAAAUAUACACAAUUAUUUUUCCAAUAGCUCAAGUAUUGACUUAUUUUAUGGGCAGAUGAUACCAAACUAGCAAAAAGCUUUAUGCUAAAAAUGUGCCUUUGUGGGAAAACCAGCAUGUUCGGUACUUAAAAUAUUUCCAUUCUGAACUGAAGUCAGUGAAUAGGCAUGUCUUGCAACUUCAUUUGCUUAGCAGGGUCUUGGUUUGAUUUGUAAAAACUGGGACAUAAAAUGUUUUACUAGCACUUGCCACUUAAAGUCCUAAAUUUGGUGUAUUGUGACCGUUGACAAGUAGUAGCAUUUCCCCCGCCCCCAAAAAAUCACAAUAUCAAUUCUGUGGAUAUUUUAAAAGUUUAUUUCUAUUUUAACUAGCCCACAGACCCCAUUCUUUGAGGGCUGAUCUGAUUUCUG